This 1877-nucleotide long non-coding RNA is filed under the name Rhinopithecus bieti (black snub-nosed monkey). RNAcentral describes it as "lncRNA (ENSRBIG00000045197.1)". Lineage: Eukaryota; Metazoa; Chordata; Mammalia; Primates; Cercopithecidae. The record is from RNAcentral.
AUGUGUGUGGAACCCGUUUGUUGGCUGACGGCCCAGUCCUCGGUAGAGGGUCUUUCGGGAGAGAAGAAGAAGAAGGUUCCUGCUGUGCCAGAAACCCUUAAGAAAAAGCGAAGGAAUUUCGCAGAGCUGAAGGUCAAGCGCCUGAGAAAGAAGUUUGCCCAAAAGAUGCUUCGAAAGGCAAGGAGGAAGCUUAUCUAUGAAAAAGCGAAGCACUAUCACAAGGAGUAUAGGCAGAUGUACAGAACUGAAAUUCGAAUGGCGAGGAUGGCAAGAAAAGCUGGCAACUUCUAUGUACCUGCUGAACCCAAAUUGGCGUUUGUCAUCAGGAUCAGAGGGUAAAUUCAGUCUUACUGCAUUCAGGUUUCAAAGGGAGAGUUAGCACUGGUUAAAAAAAAAAAAAAAAAACACUACUCAUUAAUUCUGGGAGCCCUGAUUCUGAAACACUGGAGUAACAAUAUUUUAGGGGAAGCUAAAACAAGGAGGGUGGUGAUCACUCAUGGUUUAGUUGCAAGCCAUGUUCCCCAAGCUCCUAUCCCUUCUCUUAAUCGAAUACAGAAGUUCAGUGUGUAACGUGAGAGGAUUCCUAUCUGUUUAGGUAGGACUUGAUAUUCCAAACUAUAAUGGUUAGUAUUAAUAAAAAUUUCGAUGAAAGGCAAAUGCAUUUCUGGUCCCUUUUCACCAUAGUAUCAAUGGCGUGAGCCCAAAGGUCCGAAAGGUAUUGCAGCUUCUUCGCCUUCGUCAAAUCUUCAAUGGAACCUUUGUGAAGCUCAACAAGGCUUCGAUUAACAUGCUGAGGAUUGUAGAACCAUAUAUUGCAUGGGGGUAAGUCUCUUUUCUCCUUUGAUUUCUGUUUGGUAAAUUGGCUAUGUGUCAACAUGAAUUUUAAAUGUUUUAACAGUGGUCACCUUAUUUAUGUUUGCUUUUUCACUUCAGGUACCCCAAUCUGAAGUCAGUAAAUGAGCUAAUCUACAAGCGUGGUUAUGGCAAAAUCAAUAAGAAGCGAAUUGCUUUGACAGAUAACGCUUUGAUUGCUCGAUCUCUUGGUAGGUUCUGUUUGGGGGAAAGUUUGACCAUGCUAUAACUUCCUAUCCUCUUGUGGCUGUACAUUUCUCACUAUUGUACAUUUUCAUAUAUUCCCUGUGAUUCUUGAUUAAGCUUAAAGAAAAUGUAAGGCAUGGUUUCAUUGGCUUGAACCUUAUCUUCGUAAAGCCAUGCAUUUACCUUGUUUAUUCCUGGUGUGUUUUUAUUUCACAGCCUACAGUUGCUCUUGUUGGGUGUCCUAAAGUCUAACAAUUAAUUCAAAACUUUUUGCAACUUUAAUAAUUUUAACCUUAAAAUAUUUAGGUAAAUAUGGCAUCAUCUGCAUGGAGGAUCUGAUUCAUGAGAUCUAUACUGUUGGAAAACGCUUCAAAGAGGCAAAUAACUUCCUGUGGCCCUUCAAAUUAUCUUCUCCACGAGGUGGAAUGAAGAAAAGACCACCCAUUUUGUAGAAGGUGGAGAUGCUGGCAACAGGGAGGACCAGAUCAACAGGCUUAUUAGAAGAAUGAACUAAGGUGAGAGACCUCAUCCUGAGAAAUGUCGAGUUAACGCUAGAGUGCAAGUGCUGGUAAUCUUGAAUACUUUUCCCAUUAAAUAUUGAGGGAGGUCUGAAUUUUAAUCAGUGCUUUUGUGGGGAGCGGGAUCAACUAUCUUAACGAUUACAUUUGGUUUGUUACUUAAUGAUUACAGUUGGUUAGCUUUUGAGGACCUUUCUGGAGGAAAGGAAAAGCCUGUUUGGGGAGUUUUAAAGAUGGAAAUUGGGUGAUCUUAAAAUGUAAACUCAAUAGUUAACUUUUAACUGUCUAUGUUAAUUGUUAGCCGGCUAAGGUGUUUUCUAA